AGAGUUUGAUCCUGGCUCAGGACGAACGCUGGCGGCGUGCCUAAUACAUGCAAGUCGAGCGGACCCCUUCGGGGUUAGCGGCGGACGGGUGAGUAACACGUAGGCAACCUGCCUGUAAGAUCGGGAUAACUACCGGAAACGGUAGCUAAGACCGGAUAGAUGGUUUCUUCGCAUGAAGGAAUCAAGAAACACGGAGCAAU
RNAcentral lists this ribosomal RNA (200 nucleotides) under uncultured bacterium. RNAcentral describes it as "partial 16S ribosomal RNA". It matches the Rfam family "Bacterial small subunit ribosomal RNA", at positions 8 to 214 of the family's 1533-position model. The record is from RNAcentral.